GACGAACGCUGACGGCGUGCUUAACACAUGCAAGUCGAACGGAAAGGCCCUGCUUUUGUGGGGUGCUCGAGUGGCGAACGGGUGAGUAACACGUGAGUAACCUGCCCUUGACUUUGGGAUAACUUCAGGAAACUGGGGCUAAUACCGGAUAGGAGCUCCUGCUGCAUGGUGGGGGUUGGAAAGUUUCGGCGGUUGGGGAUGGACUCGCGGCUUAUCAGCUUGUUGGUGGGGUAGUGGCUUACCAAGGCUUUGACGGGUAGCCGGCCUGAGAGGGUGACCGGCCACAUUGGGACUGAGAUACGGCCCAGACUCCUACGGGAGGCAGCAGUGGGGAAUAUUGCACAAUGGGCGGAAGCCCGAUGCAGCAACGCCGCGUGCGGGAUGACGGCCUUCGGGUUGUAAACCGCUUUCGCCUGUGACGAAGCGUGAGUGACGGUAAUGGGUAAAGAAGCACCGGCUAACUACGUG
This 468-nucleotide ribosomal RNA is filed under the name uncultured bacterium. RNAcentral describes it as "partial 16S ribosomal RNA". It matches the Rfam family "Bacterial small subunit ribosomal RNA", at positions 28 to 507 of the family's 1533-position model. The record is from RNAcentral.